Molecule: long non-coding RNA, 2377 nt
Organism: Sitophilus oryzae (rice weevil)
Lineage: Eukaryota; Metazoa; Arthropoda; Insecta; Coleoptera; Curculionidae
Exons: 8
Source: RefSeq, a predicted model, not a curated record
UUCAUUUUGUUCCUGAAAUCUUUUUAGUACUAAACUGCUUUGGAAUGAAUUUUUUUGGGGGACAACAGCAGGAUUAGGGCCAUCUUCUAGAUGCCAUCAGGUAGGUGCGCUAGCGUAGUCGUUUGUUGUAGCAUUAUAUCCCUUUUCCUCCUUUUUAAAAAAUGUUUGUAAGACGCCUGAUUUUGUAUAAGUUAGUUAUAUAAGUAGUUGAAUAAGAAUUGGUGAGACUUGGAAAAUAGAAGAGGACAAAGAAAAUGGAAAAGGAUUGCUUUGAAAUAGAAGGAAAGGAGAUAGAAGAUGUUUGAGGAAAGGAGGAGGAUUUUGUUCGCUGUAACGGAAGUUUUUUGAAUGAAAUUUGGAGCAACUGUAUUAAGAUGUUAUUGAUAUCUUGGACAUCAAGUUUCAUUUAUUUGUGUAUUAUACAAGCCUAUCUGUUGGUGGAAAUGUAAAAUGGCAGCUGGUAUAACACCUUGUAUGAAUUAUUAGGAACUUCAAAGAACUUUUGACAGAAUUUAAACUGGGAAGAAGCUCAUAAAAGACCAGUUUAGGCUGCAGUAGUACCAGGACCUUAAAUUGGCUUCCACAACACAGAUAUCUUUCAAAAAUGAUAUCUGUUCGAGUGAUAUACUGGGCGUUAACAGUUGUUAAAAAUCUGCAAAUGAGUUACUACUGUGCAUACGUUUGAGGAAUGUCAAGAAAUGUUUUGAAUGAAACGAUAGUGAAAAACUUGUCCACAAAUGUCAAUUUCAAGAUACAAUCAAUAGUACUAAGAUUGAUUGGCCUCCAUUACCAUUAUGCUAUAAAAAUGUAAGCAAUACAAAUUGGUAUUAAUGGACGUUUUGACAGCUGUUGCCAGUCCAAGUUCCAGUUUUAAUGGAAAAUCUUUAAUGGACACAGAAAAAUGCCAUUUACUGGAUUGACUUCUACACCUGUUGCCUUUUAAUAAUGGCAUACGAUAGGACAAUUGCUAUUAGAAACCGAUAAGACAUACUAGCUGCAAAUAAUAUGUAUGGUGGUUAUAAAAGAGAUUUAAAUGGAAUGAAACACUUGUGCAGAAGAAAUCGAGGAAAACCAUUUUGAACUGCUGUUACUUAAUAGCUGUUAGAGCGGAUCCAGUUCUUCAUCAAUGGUAUAAGAUGGGAUAAUUGCUGUUAAAAAUCCACAAGCUGUACUAUCUGCAAAUAUUAUGGUGGACAACAAAAAGCUUUAAAUGGAAUGAAAUUUGCAGGAAAAGACUCAGAAAGACCAUUGAGGACUGUACUUAAUAGCUGUUACUGUGGUCGCAGUCCUUCAUCACUAAUAUCUCUGCAUUUUCUUAACAAUGGAUAUCCCCAACAGUUGCUCCUACUCCUCACUUUCCUCUUUCACUCAACAUAAAGCAGACUCGAUACUCCUCAAUGCCUCACCAAGGUUCGUUAGCUUCAUUAAUAGUGUUAUUGUUUCAAUAAAUUUGUUUACUGGUUUUUAUCCUCUUCUUAACUAUUUAAGUAUAUCAGGCGUCAUAUUAGUGUUAUUGAUUUUUUGUAAAAUUUUGAUAAUCUGGAUAAAAACCGUUUUUUUUUUUCUUAAGAUUUUGCAAAAUAAAAUACUUGUUAAGAACAAUUAACGUUAUUUUAUGAAUAGGACCAUUAUUUCUGUUUAUAUUGUCUUUUUAUUUAUUUAUUUUGAUGCUCUAUUUAUUAUCUAAUCGCCUCUAGUUUGAGACAUGUUUGAUUAAUUUUAAAUCAUUAAAAUCUAUGCAUUAAUCUUGAUGAAAAAUAUGUUGAGCAAUAUUAUAGUAAUCUGUUAUAAUUUCUCUUAAGCUUUUUUUCAAUCUCAUUUAUCUUUUAUUUUUGCAUUCAUUAAAGGUCAUUAGAUAUUGUGAUUAUUAAUUAAAUUGUUAGUUGUAUUAUAUAACGUAAUAUUUUUUUAAUAGAAUUAAAGAGAUUCUUUAUAAAUUUGUAUCAUUACCAAUUAUUUAUAAUAGUAGUUUUUUAAUUAUUUUUAAUUAAUUACUUUAAAUUUAUUCCGGAUUAUCAAAAUUAUAAAUGUUAUGCAUGCGCAGCUGCGUCACUAUAGCCCUAUGAACACAAGUAUUAUUUUAGUUCUAAAGUUUAUAUUUUUUAAUAUUUAAUUUAUUGUAUUAACACAAACUAAAUUUUAUGGAAUUUAUCUAACUAUAUCUACGAUCAGAUGAUAAUUUAAUAGUUUAAUGAUCAAUUUAAUCAUUUUUUAUAAGUUCUGGAUUGAUUAUUUUUAGUAAAAUAAUCCAUUUUGUUAAUACUUGUGUUCAUAUAGUUUUUUUUUGCUUUUGUGAAUUAUUUUUAGUACCCUAGGACAGGGGCGUGACCCUAGGACAGGAUAGGGUGGUAAAGGGAAUAAUUACCCCUCCCAGAAA